RNAcentral lists this small RNA (28 nucleotides) under Bombyx mori (domestic silkworm). RNAcentral's name for it is "ovarian small RNA-17062". The record is from RNAcentral. Lineage: Eukaryota; Metazoa; Arthropoda; Insecta; Lepidoptera; Bombycidae.
GCUAGUCGCACCAGAGAGCUUGCGUGGC